This 253-nucleotide ribosomal RNA is filed under the name uncultured bacterium. Its description in RNAcentral is "partial 16S ribosomal RNA". It matches the Rfam family "Bacterial small subunit ribosomal RNA", at positions 524 to 776 of the family's 1533-position model. The record is from RNAcentral.
UACAGAGGUCUCAAGCGUGGUUCGGAUUCAUUGGGCGUAAAGGGUGUGUAGGUGGCGCCGUUAGUCGGGUGUGAAAUUUCGGAGCUUAACUCCGAAACUGCAUUCGAUACUGCGGUGCUUGAGGACUGGAGAGGAGACUGGAAUUCAUGGUGUAGCAGUGAAAUGCGUAGAGAUCAUGAGGAAGACCAGUGGCGAAGGCGGGUCUCUGGACAGUUCCUGACACUGAGGCGCGACAGCGUGGGGAGCAAACAGG